CUAGUGAGCAAGAUUCACAAAACAAACAGAAACAUGAACAGAAAUCUACCAACUGCGCAAAGAGAAAGAGGAGUGUUUACCCACUAUUCUGAAGGGAAAUUUGCGCUUCCUACCUGGUAAUUCAAAUAGCAUCCUUAAAAGCAAAGCAAACAAAACAAAAAGUAUAAUUCAACGUACUGCGAGGUAAAGCACUGAAAUGUGUAUUUGCUUUAAGAACUAACUAAUGCAACGCUAAGAGCGUCAUUAUUUUCUCCUGGCGGGACAGGACUGUGCUGUUGAGAGCUACAUGACAUUAAAUUAAAUGUAUAAUUCUGUGUUUGAUCUGCAAAUGUUGUGGAAAUUACACCCGGUCUGUUACUUACACACACAGAGUAACACUGAGCCAGCCAACAACGUCACAAAGUACUAAUCUGGAUUAGUCUCAGCGUGUGAGUGUCCGGAUUCAGUCUGAAUGAAGGGAGCAGGGCGCCUUCUGCUUGAAGAGGUGUAAAUUCCUGGGAGUUCUUCUGAGCCUGCUUUGUGGGAGUCAGGGACAGGAACUGCUGCUAAAGGAAAACAUAGAUUAUAUGGAAAUCCAACAGCGUGGAGUGCUCAUAAAACAACCAAAAAUGACAGCCAUGGCACCGAAAGAACGGUAUCAACUAUCUUCAUCAUCCCGGGGUGCAUAAAACCUGAAGACUCCCACUACAAUUUCUGCUAUUUAAAAAUCAACGAGCUUCCUUUUUAAUAUCCAGACUCAAUAAUAUUGCAUCAGAAUAACCUCAGUGAUGUCAUGUUUACAUACUUUCCAAAGUGAUUUGAAUAGUAGAAAACGUAGGCUUUGCACCCCACAUAGUGCAAAUGCUUUGAAAAACAUGAAAAAUGUUACCUAAAGGUAACGUUCAAGAACAAUUAUAUCACAUACUAGACCUAAGCUAUCCUGCAGAGAGAGUGAGAGUGAGGAUCUAUCAAUAAAUCCAAACUAAUGCUACUAAUACGUAUACUGUUAAAACAGAAAACAGUUUCCAUUCCUACAUUUGAACCAGCCAUAAAUUCUCUUGUUUCAAUUUCACUGUAAUACAAUUUCACUGUAAUAUGUAAGCUUUUAGGAAAAUAAAUAAUAAUUUUUAAUAAAAAUA
Chrysemys picta bellii (western painted turtle) is the source of this 1118-nucleotide non-coding RNA. Lineage: Eukaryota; Metazoa; Chordata; Testudines; Emydidae. The record is from RefSeq and is a predicted model, not a curated record.